GACGGCAUAGUUCAGCCUGGUAGAACGCAGGUUUCAUAAGCCUGAUGUCGGCGGUUCAAAUCCGCCUGCCGUCA
This 74-nucleotide transfer RNA is filed under the name Nanobdellati archaeon. Its description in RNAcentral is "tRNA-Met". It matches the Rfam family "tRNA". From Rfam's summary of the family: Transfer RNA (tRNA) molecules are approximately 80 nucleotides in length. Their secondary structure includes four short double-helical elements and three loops (D, anti-codon, and T loops). Lineage: Archaea; Nanobdellati. The record is from RNAcentral.